This 122-nucleotide ribosomal RNA is filed under the name Klebsiella sp. PL-2018. The record is from RNAcentral. Lineage: Bacteria; Pseudomonadati; Pseudomonadota; Gammaproteobacteria; Enterobacterales; Enterobacteriaceae.
UUGCCUGGCGGCGACAGCGCGGUGGUCCCACCUGACCCCAUGCCGAACUCAGAAGUGAAACGCCGUAGCGCCGAUGGUAGUGUGGGGUCUCCCCAUGUGAGAGUAGGGAACUGCCAGGCAUC